RNAcentral lists this non-coding RNA (53 nucleotides) under Trichobilharzia regenti. Lineage: Eukaryota; Metazoa; Platyhelminthes; Trematoda; Strigeidida; Schistosomatidae. The record is from RNAcentral.
GUACUGCUGAAGAGUCCCAAACUAGGAUGGAGGAAACAGCAGCUGUCCAGUAC